This 1029-nucleotide long non-coding RNA is filed under the name Coturnix japonica (Japanese quail). RNAcentral's name for it is "lncRNA (ENSCJPG00005016571.1)". The record is from RNAcentral. Lineage: Eukaryota; Metazoa; Chordata; Aves; Galliformes; Phasianidae.
CGGGGGGGGCACCGCGCAUCGCCCCGCGGCCGCCGCGGCGGUAGGACAGCGGGCAGCGCUGACAGCGGCUCCGCGGGGCCCGUCCGGCAUCGCGGGGCUCCGCUCCCCCGGCCCGAGCGCGGAGAGCGGCCCCGGGAGCGGCUGAGCCCUGCGGGAACGCAAAGCCGGACGCUCGGCCACCUCCCGGAGCUCGCCCCGGUCCCUGCCCAGAGCCCCGCAGCCCCUUCACCUGCUGCUCUGCGGGGCUGCGAGACAGCGACGGGAGAACGCAGCCUCCGGCCCAGCUGCGCCCCACAGCCGCGGGGCAGGAGUUUGGUGCUGCGCGGAUCGCCACCCCGGGCAGAACGGCUGAUUUGCCCCCAGCUGCCCGUCGCUCCGGGGGUCCCGGGGGCGGCCCCCCGCAGGUCUGCGCUCGGCCCCCUACGGCCGCCGCUCUGGGUCGGGGGCACCGAGCGGCACCAUCGGUGCGCUCCCGUCCCGAGGGCACCGAGCCGGCACCGGAGCGGGGCGGUGGCACCGGGCAGCGACGGGCAGCGGGGCACCCGAGGCGGCAAGCGGGGGCUCCCGGAGCAGAGCGGGCACGGGACUCCCCGCGCAUCUCCCCCCGCGUUCCGCAUCCCCCCGCGCCCCGGCUCACCGGCAGGACACGGAGAGCUCCACCUUGGUGCCCGGCACGCUGCCGGCCGCUUCCAGCGCUCCCGGAGCCGCCAUCCCCGCGCGGGCGCCGCCGCUGCUCCGCGCCGCCUCCUCCCGCACCGCCGAAGCGGGCGCGCCCGGGGGCGGGCACGGGCACGGCGGCCCCGGCGGCGGCACCGCCCCGGUAACGGGGCUGCUCAGAGCCGGGUACCGACACGCGGUGCUGCCGGGACGCCGUCCGGCUCGGCUCCGUUCGCGGGCCGGGCUGUGCCCCGAUGGCCGCUCGAUGCCGGCUCCCGUCCCGUCGGGGCUCCCUCCCGGAGCAGCUCCCGGUCCCGACGCGCUGCUAUUUCGGUGCCGCCGCUCCCGGAGCGUGGGCCGCGCUAUUUAUAG